Non-coding RNA from Stenodus leucichthys (inconnu), 54 nucleotides. The record is from Rfam. NCBI's taxonomy places the organism in Eukaryota, Metazoa, Chordata, Actinopteri, Salmoniformes, Salmonidae.
AAAAACAACAACUGUAAGUCGCUUUGGAUAAAAGCGUCUGCUAAAUGGCAUAUU